CCUACCCCGGCCUCCAACCGCCGCCCUCACCUCCCGCCCCACCGCGUCGGCCACUGGAUCGACAUCGGCCGCCGCCCCACAGCCUCCACCCUCGGGUCCCCGAGAGCAGCCAUGGCGCCCCGUCAGAUCUGGCCUUUGUCGUGCAUGUAGCCGCCCCUCCAAGGCCGCCGGACUCCGCCGCUCCCCAGGCCGCCAGUGCCCCUACUCCCCUCCACAGGCCGCCGCCGCGCCGCCCAUCCACGGGGUCCGGUGCCGGGGAGGGAUGCGGUGGUAUCCUCGGGGGGGCGAGGAUGGGUGGUGGUGGUUCAAGGCGGGGAGGAGACCCGCACCGUCGUCUCGCCUGGGCCCGCACCUUCGCGGCCCAGCCUUCUCCGUUCCCCUACCUCCCGCAGAGACGCCGGAUCUGUGAGCCAGCGGCAUGUCCCAUGCGUCCCGAAGCUCAACCGCCAAGGAUUCGUGAUUUCUUCUGUUGUUGCGCUCUUCCUCGACCCCGACGAGUGCACUUCCUCAACCUAGAAAGAGUGGUGCAGUUCGGUUGGUCCCCCCCUCUCUGAACCCCCUCUUCCACCAACCUUCUGUCGGCGUCAGUCCCACGGCUUCAGCCGUGACCAUCUACCUCCCCUCGAUGAACUGCAUCGCCACCGGUGUCGCUGCUCACAUCAGUGUUACUCCAAAAGAUGAGGUUCAGUUUCUUGCAUUCUGACGGCCACGCCGACGUGUGUGUGCGCGGGUGCAGCUUGCAAAAAGCCCCCAAAAUCAACUCAGUUGGUGCUGAGUGUGGGGUUUGAUUUUUUUUUCCUACAAAAGAUGUGCUCUGGUGAAGUUCAUUGCUGAUGUAUCUCUAGUGCAGUUUUCAGAUAGGUGCUACUGCCUUCUGCACUCCUUCUUUGAUCCACUAUGGAGGCAAAAAACAAGAAAGGAAAUAUUCUUGUUUAGAAGACCACUUGUGAAUUUGAUGUGUUCAAGAGCGAGUUGUACAGAUUUGGGUCCUAGAGGGAAAGUAGUUUGGAUGUGUAGUUUUUUUUGUGUCUGGAAGCAUUAUUUUUUGACACAUUUCACUCGCUUGCCAUGUGCAGUAAGAGACUACAAAAGAAAAUGCAGUGCACUCUUGUCUACAGUACACCAUUUAUAAAAAAUGUAUUAAAAAAGUGCACUC
This is a long non-coding RNA of Triticum dicoccoides, 1156 nucleotides long. RefSeq lists it as uncharacterized. The transcript has 2 exons. The record is from RefSeq and is a predicted model, not a curated record. Lineage: Eukaryota; Viridiplantae; Streptophyta; Magnoliopsida; Poales; Poaceae.